GAGGAGCGGGGAAUGGGCAGCAUUUGAAUGGAUGCGGGUGCCGCUGGCACCCGGGAAGACGCUGGGGGCCGGCGCUGUAGAGCCGGGCAUGGGCUGGGAUGUGUUUGGAUUCCAAUCCGGGCCUGACACCAGUUCAGUGACCUCGGGAAGUUCCCCAACCCUCCGGGCCUGUUUCCUCCCUCUGAAGUGGCGACAGUAGUAGAACCGACCUCGUAGGCUCAUCGGGAGGUCCUGAUGGGAGAACCCAUGCAACUUGCCACCAUAGAGCCAGGCCCGCGGCGGUUGGCGCCUGGUGGGUAUUAAAGACGAGUCGGGAAAGAAGAGCAGGUUGAUAGACUGGAUGCUGCUAUGGUAAUCUGCCUCAGGAAAAUGCCGGACUGUUGUUUGCAAGCUGGUUAAGUGAGCAAAUCUUGGGAAGAUUUCAAGUUUUUAUCUUCAGGAAACUCCCAAGCAUUCUGGAAGCUCUGCAUGUGAGUAAGAACCACUGCUGUUGCUGUUGCUGUAGCUGCCUGAAUCUAUGGCAAAAAGCCAGGAAAAAAAAAUUGCUUCACACCAUGUGCACCGACUCCCCUGGAGCUGGCACCACCAGGGCGUCUGCAGAGCUAUGUCUGACAGUCCUGCCAUUUCCUAACUUCUCCUGUGUGGUCAUCCACCUACCUUUGGGAACCUCCAGUCAUUACUCACAGAGUUGGUCUCAUCCUGGGAACUCUCUCUUGCCUCUCCCAGUGGUUCAUUCUCCAAGUCUGAGUUAUUUGGUCAAAAAAACCUCCAAAUGCUUCAGACAACUCUCGCAAACUUGUCAUAGCUUUUGGUAUUCCAGGCCACAGAAGAGCCCAGGUGGGUACAUGGGCCCUCCAAGUGUUUGUUUCCUCACCACUGUGAGUGACAAAUAUGCUUCUUUAUCCUUAAAAUUGUCCAGCCAGUAACUGUUGGAACACACUGACCUAGAUCCACACAUGCAAACACACCUUUCAAGGGCAAAUGUUAAUUCACAAAGACAAUUGUAAAAUCUAAGCUAAAGUUCACAAA
RNAcentral lists this long non-coding RNA (1029 nucleotides) under Homo sapiens (human). Its description in RNAcentral is "HSALNT0294731". The record is from RNAcentral. Lineage: Eukaryota; Metazoa; Chordata; Mammalia; Primates; Hominidae.